GGGGAAAUAAUAUAAUGGUAGUAUUCUGUGUUUGCAUCACAGCCGUUAGGGUUCGAUUCCCUAUUUCUCCA
RNAcentral lists this transfer RNA (71 nucleotides) under Pascua guehoae. Its description in RNAcentral is "tRNA-Ala". It matches the Rfam family "tRNA". From Rfam's summary of the family: Transfer RNA (tRNA) molecules are approximately 80 nucleotides in length. Their secondary structure includes four short double-helical elements and three loops (D, anti-codon, and T loops). Lineage: Eukaryota; Fungi; Basidiomycota; Tremellomycetes; Trichosporonales; Trichosporonaceae. The record is from RNAcentral.